Molecule: long non-coding RNA, 199 nt
Filed under: Elaeis guineensis (African oil palm)
Lineage: Eukaryota; Viridiplantae; Streptophyta; Magnoliopsida; Arecales; Arecaceae
Description: long non-coding RNA (EGUI_LNC056603)
Source: RNAcentral
GCCACCCAUAUACAAUCAGAUCUUAGCCCAAUUUUUACAUGAUAAAUAGGGGGUUUAAUAAGGAUUCUUACACGCUAAAAAAAGAGUGGAGAAGUGGUGUUAAACUGAUUGGGGCAUGGGUACAAAUUUUGGUUCAAUGUGAGACUCGUUUGGUGGUGCAUGGAAGGAAGGAUUUUAAACCCCUGGGACUCUUCAUUAG